UCCAGACUCCUACGGGAGGCAGCAGUGGGGAAUAUUGCACAAUGGGGGAAACCCUGAUGCAGCGACGCCGCGUGAGUGAGGAAGUAUUUCGGUAUGUAAAGCUCUAUCAGCAGGGAAGAAAAAAUGACGGUACCUGACUAAGAAGCACCGGCUAAAUACGUGCCAGCAGCCGCGGUAAUACGUAUGGUGCAAGCGUUAUCCGGAUUUACUGGGUGUAAAGGGAGCGUAGACGGCGAUGCAAGCCAGAUGUGAAAGCCCGCGGCUCAACUGCGGUAGUGCAUUUGGAACUGUAUGGCUGGAGUGCAGGAGAGGCAGGCGGAAUUCCUAUUGUAGCGGUGAAAUGCGUAGAUAUUAGGAGGAACACCAGUGGCGAAGGCGGCCUGCUGGACUGUAACUGACGUUGAGGCUCGAAAGCGUGGGGAGCAAACAGGAUUAGAUACCCCCGUACAC
This 450-nucleotide ribosomal RNA is filed under the name uncultured bacterium. RNAcentral describes it as "bacterial SSU rRNA". It matches the Rfam family "Bacterial small subunit ribosomal RNA", at positions 330 to 795 of the family's 1533-position model. The record is from RNAcentral.